Scenedesmus sp. NREL 46B-D3 is the source of this 73-nucleotide non-coding RNA. NCBI's taxonomy places the organism in Eukaryota, Viridiplantae, Chlorophyta, Chlorophyceae, Sphaeropleales, Scenedesmaceae. The record is from the annotation of a GenBank genome assembly.
GGGGGUGUAGCUCAACCGGUAGAGCGUGCGCUUUGCAUGCGCAAGGCAGGGGGAUUGAAGCCCUCCACCUCCA